This 301-nucleotide ribosomal RNA is filed under the name uncultured bacterium. RNAcentral's name for it is "partial 16S ribosomal RNA". It matches the Rfam family "Bacterial small subunit ribosomal RNA", at positions 509 to 807 of the family's 1533-position model. The record is from RNAcentral.
CAGUCGCCACGGUAAUACGAAGGGGGCUAGCGUUGCUCGGAAUUACUGGGCGUAAAGGGCGCGUAGGCGGCGCUCCAAGUUAGGCGUGAAAUUCCCGGGCUCAACCUGGGGACUGCGCUUAAGACUGGAGUGCUUGAGGAUGGAAGAGGGUUGUGGAAUUCCCAGUGUAGAGGUGAAAUUCGUAGAUAUUGGGAAGAACACCGGUGGCGAAGGCGGCAACCUGGUCCAUUACUGACGCUGAGGCGCGAUAGCGUGGGGAGCAAACAGGAUUAGAUACCCCAGUAGUCCCUGUCUCUUAUAC